RNAcentral lists this ribosomal RNA (615 nucleotides) under Salmonella enterica. RNAcentral describes it as "bacterial SSU rRNA". It matches the Rfam family "Bacterial small subunit ribosomal RNA", at positions 765 to 1380 of the family's 1533-position model. The record is from RNAcentral. Lineage: Bacteria; Pseudomonadati; Pseudomonadota; Gammaproteobacteria; Enterobacterales; Enterobacteriaceae.
GGAGCAAACAGGAUUAGAUACCCUGGUAGUCCACGCCGUAAACGAUGUCUACUUGGAGGUUGUGCCCUUGAGGCGUGGCUUCCGGAGCUAACGCGUUAAGUAGACCGCCUGGGGAGUACGGCCGCAAGGUUAAAACUCAAAUGAAUUGACGGGGGCCCGCACAAGCGGUGGAGCAUGUGGUUUAAUUCGAUGCAACGCGAAGAACCUUACCUGGUCUUGACAUCCACAGAAUUCUGCAGAGAUGCGGAAGUGCCUUCGGGAACUGUGAGACAGGUGCUGCAUGGCUGUCGUCAGCUCGUGUUGUGAAAUGUUGGGUUAAGUCCCGCAACGAGCGCAACCCUUAUCCUUUGUUGCCAGCGGUUAGGCCGGGAACUCAAAGGAGACUGCCAGUGAUAAACUGGAGGAAGGUGGGGAUGACGUCAAGUCAUCAUGGCCCUUACGACCAGGGCUACACACGUGCUACAAUGGCGCAUACAAAGAGAAGCGACCUCGCGAGAGCAAGCGGACCUCAUAAAGUGCGUCGUAGUCCGGAUUGGAGUCUGCAACUCGACUCCAUGAAGUCGGAAUCGCUAGUAAUCGUGGAUCAGAAUGCCACGGUGAAUACGUUCCCGGGCC